AGAGAAGAAGAUGGAAAGACCUGGGAGUCCUGCACCUGGUACUGAGGUGAGAAGACAUCGCCAGGAGAAGGAAUAUGGAUAACAUAGAUGCCAAAACCUCCAUGUCAGAGCAGCAAGAUCUAUCUGUGGUAUUUGCAGUCACGUAAUUGCUUUUGCUGUUUUUCUGUAUUUUACAUUACAAAGGAGGUUCAAAAUAUAUCUGAAGUAGAAGUAUGUGCCAAACAUACAGCAGAAAAAUUCACUGAAAGAAAUAGAAAUAGAAAAAAACACGCAAACCACAGCAUGGGGCAAUCUUCCCAAGCAACAGCAGAAUCUAAUCAGGGUUGCCUAAUUUUUUUCCCACUCAAAACAAACGCUUUCAAAUUAGAAGGGUUUAAGACUGUAGGAAGGACAGACUAUUCACACCCCACCUCCUUAUUUUAAUAUUAUCUUUUUUUACACAACUUUGGAAACCUAGCAUGCCGACCUUGGUUAAUUCCUGUGAAUCAUACAAGCCUUAAUUGGUUUUGGAAGGGUCUCCAGAUCUCUCUAGAAAAGGUUAAGCAUUAUUUAUUUGCCUUCGUUACUAUCCAAACCUAUGUGAUUUCUGAACAGGUUUGACAUUCAAACUAAUUAAGGAUAAGCAAAAGAGGAAAAAAGCCUUUAUAUGAGUUCUAAACAAAAAUUUACAAAAGAAAGAAAUGUAAAGCAGUAAUGGCAAAAGCCAUAUAUUAUAUAACACCCCUGCACCAUUCUUCUUUAGUAUAGAAGAGCUGCAGAAUGCCUCUUGCUAGUUCCUGUGUUUAUGAGAUCCAAUCUGAAAGAGGGUAAGAGUUGUGUCGGUUCUUUUCUAGCUUUAAGGCACAUGGUAACCGUAUCGUUGUCAUUAUUUUCUAAAAUAAUAGAUGAGUUUUGAUUUUGUUUCAUUUACAAGAUGUCAUUCAUAUAUGAAAUAUUCUGAAAGUACAGCUCUUUCUCUACCAAAGUGUGAGAACUAGGUUCCUGCAUGGUGAUCUCCCUGCAGUCAUGGCCUCCUCAACCCCUCCGCUUGCUGCAAAGAACGGGAGACGUCUGAGGUGUUGAUUAACAAACUAAAAGGAAGGAUUCCUCACUAUGUCUGAAUGCUCCUUCUCAUCAUUUAAAAGAAGUCAGAGGUAAAUACUACAUGUCUACCUGUUUACUUACAGGUGUUUGAAACUUCUCUUUCUCUUUAGAGUGUUGCAAUGAGAAGCCAUAACAAAAUAAAACUCGGGGAAAAAAAACAAAAACGACAGUGUAAGUAGUACUAUUUUAGAUGACAUUAGAGUCCAGGGCAAGGGAAUGAAAUAAAUAAAGUUUGAGGAUUGAAAAUCUGAACCUCUCCUUGCAGGCUGUGUGAGUCCAGGAACUAAUAAACAUCUUUUGAUCAUCUGGACACCAGGAAAGUUCAUGCAUAACCUGAAGGUUCAUAAAUUAUAAAAGAUAUUUUCUUAAGCUGAUUUUAAUGAAGAACAAGAGCUUUUAUAGGUUAGACUUUGAAUGGGAAAAGGUUAAUGUAGACAGUAAUUACUGAUCUGUGAAUACUGCUGGAAAUACUGUACUAUUCUGCAUGCUUAUUUGGGCUACUUCUAUGUAGGAAAAUAAUUCAACGCUUUUAUGGAAUCACUAUAAUAUUCAGAAACACAAACACAUGUUUGCUGGGUCUGGUGGUUAUGUAAGGAGGCACUUAAAAUAAUCCAGAAGAAUGGUGAAAAGGGCUUUUUCCAUUCUUCAUAAAUGUCAGCACUGUAAAAGGGGAUACGAAUAUAAAAAAUUUGUUUAAUGCAAUUCUUUGCUGCAAGUGGUAGAUUUCUACCUUCAGAAAGUGUCAGCUUUGUAGAAAAGGCUCUGAGAGACCUUGGGGACAAUCAGCUGACAUCAAGUCUGUAGUGUGCCCUUGCAGCAAUGAGGCCAGUUUUACUUGAGCAGUAUUAUAAGGAGCAUAGCAAGCAGCUAAAGAGAAAAUCUUUCUUGAUGGAUGAUGGCUAUAUUUAAAUAUCAUGCACUGAUCAACAAGUCUUCUUAAAAAAGUAGUGGUCUGUCCAUAGAGUAUUGAUCCAGUAGCAAGAUAAUUGUUGACUAAUUUCUCGUUUUCUUUUAGUUGAUAAUAAUACAGAAAAUUCAGUGCACCUGAGUGCAAUAUGAGCAUCUUUAUUGAAUUCAUUCUUCAUGCAAGUCCUUCUCAAAAUCAAAAGUGUGUUCUAUACAGUGUCAUAUUACUGAGGUGUAUUUGGAGAAAUUAUUAAGUGGGAAAAGUAUGAUUUUUUUCUAUGCUAUACCCCUACUCAUGUUUGUUGAAAUCUAAAAUGAAUGUAAUCUCAAUGUUAAGAAAAUUAAGUAUCUAAAUUAUAUGUGUACUUAAUAUUACUUGAAGCAAUGAGCC
This is a long non-coding RNA of Gallus gallus (chicken), 2380 nucleotides long. RefSeq lists it as uncharacterized. Lineage: Eukaryota; Metazoa; Chordata; Aves; Galliformes; Phasianidae. The record is from RefSeq and is a predicted model, not a curated record. The transcript is spliced from 3 exons.